Molecule: ribosomal RNA, 647 nt
Filed under: Pseudonocardia sp. YIM 65379
Lineage: Bacteria; Bacillati; Actinomycetota; Actinomycetes; Pseudonocardiales; Pseudonocardiaceae
Description: bacterial SSU rRNA
Rfam family: Bacterial small subunit ribosomal RNA
Source: RNAcentral
UGCAAGUCGAGCGGUAAGGCCCUUUCGGGGGUACACGAGCGGCGAACGGGUGAGUAACACGUGGGUGACCUGCCCUCCACUCUGGGAUAAGCCCGGGAAACUGGGUCUAAUACCGGAUAGGACCACUGAUCGCAUGGUUGGUGGUGGAAAGUUUUUUCGGUGGGGGAUGGGCCCGCGGCCUAUCAGCUUGUUGGUGGGGUGAUGGCCUACCAAGGCGGUGACGGGUAGCCGGCCUGAGAGGGCGACCGGCCACACUGGGACUGAGACACGGCCCAGACUCCUACGGGAGGCAGCAGUGGGGAAUAUUGCGCAAUGGGCGGAAGCCUGACGCAGCGACGCCGCGUGGGGGAUGACGGCCUUCGGGUUGUAAACCUCUUUCGCCAGGGACGAAGAGCAAUUGACGGUACCUGGAGAAGAAGCACCGGCCAACUACGUGCCAGCAGCCGCGGUAACACGUAGGGUGCGAGCGUUGUCCGGAAUUAUUGGGCGUAAAGAGCUCGUAGGCGGUGUGUCGCGUCGGCCGUGAAAACUUGGGGCUUAACUCUGAGCGUGCGGUCGAUACGGGCAUCACUUGAGUUCGGCAGGGGAGACUGGAAUUCCUGGUGUAGCGGUGAAAUGCGCAGAUAUCAGGAGGAACACCGGUGGCG